GACCUUGUAAACUUGGAUCAACUUGAUUAACUCUGUUUCCUCGAAAGGAGAAGCAGUUGUUCAUGCUAAGUCCCAUGUUUGACCUCAGCACUAAACAGAAAGAUCUUUAAACAGUUCGCUGCCUCCUUGGCAUUUCUUCAUUCUGCUUUUCAUUUCAUGUGAAAUCUCCUGGGCUCUGACCAGUUCAAAAAGCAACUUUGUAGUUUUCUAUGGUAAAUGACUGACAGUAUUGGAAACUGUGCUCUUUGUCUGACAGACAACUGCAUUCACACUGCUAAGCAUUUGGACUGAACUUUUAAUUCAACCCUACCGACUUCUUUUUCUCCUUCCCUCAGCAUUGUCUGUACUGUGCCUGCCAUGGCAAUGUAUCUUCUGUUUCUGAAGCGGCUGCGUUUUUUCUGUGAUCCUAAAUGCAGCUUUGGUGCACGGUUUGGGAUCUAAUGAAGAUAUGCUUUGUGUAUGUGCUGUUGCAUAUAAUAACCUGAGACAUUCAUAUCAAAGCCAGUUAAAAGGUAGCCCAUGCCAGUAGAAGUGGAGCUUGUUACUCUUUGAUAGCCGGUAGGUGACUGACACAGUGUCAGUCUAUUUACUAAUGAAAAAAUGUGCUAGUAAGACUAUAAGUUUUGUGGAAAUUGUAAGCAAAACAGCUAAAGGAUGAAUACAGCUGGAGCUUGAAUAAUUCUUUUAUGUUAAUAUCUCUGUGCCAAAGUUGUGGCAUGUUGAUGAGAUGGUUUGGGAAUUUUUUUAUAUGCUCUAAAUACCCUUGUAUUAUCUCACUUAGCAGAGUACUGUGAAUAGGUCUCAUCAGUUCACAUGCUUAAAAUUGCACAUGUACUUUGGCGCUGCCUGUCCAAAAGCCGCAAGAUUCUGCUGUUGAAUUUGUGGAGUGGAUGGAUGUGGAAUGUUUCCAUGAGGCUGGCGGCUGCUUCCUUGGAAGAGGUGGGGAAUAGCUGUUGGGGCAGCAUGUUUUACUCUGCUGGUCAGACAUCUGUACCCGCCCAGGGCUACAAUCUGAACUGCGCCAACUACCUCCACAGGAAAAGAGAGGACAAAGUACGUGUGUCCUUCAUCUAUACUCAGACUGGGACUUACUGCCAGGAUGCACAACAGGGACAUCCCAGCUUGUGAAGACGUUCUCUAACUCAGAGCUAGCCCCAGUGAUUGCCAUUUUGGGGCCACCCAGGUCCAAAUAAACGAUGUUGAUGCUUACAAAGUAAAGAGCACAGUCCUUAGUCCCAUGUGGAAAGUACUGGCAACAUGUAACCUUUCAUAAGUAAUUGAUUCACUUUAAUAAUUGGAAAAUGUGAAAAGGCAGAAACGUUUUAAAUUAACAACGCGAUUAAAUAUUUGUGUAUAUAUAAAAUAGAAUGAAUUUAGUAUCUUGUACAGGCAGCAUGCAACAUUUUCAUUCCAUUAUAAGAAUUUAUGGCAUUUAAAAGAAAUUAUGCUCUCUUACCCGUAUGUCUCUCCUCUACAGCACUCAAUUUUGAGAUAUGUAUGCAUUAGAAUCUUAAACACUGUAUUAUAUUUGUAUAAGUAUUAUCUGUGCAUGUUGCAAGUGGGUGUAUAAAUGUCUCCUGAAUUUUAUCAGUUACAGGUCAUCUCUUGCUUUGAAACAAGAAGUAUGCUAAUACUGCAUUAGAAGUUUCAAGUUCAAAUCCACAGUUCACAGAAUGUGAUUCCAAGAUGCUACAAACCCCAUUAAAAACCCAGCUUUACUUUGCUUCUGUAUCUGCUUGCCUAAAUGCAAUCUGUAGACCACAAAUCUCAUAUUUACUCAUGUUAUAUCAGAUACAUUUCUAGUGUAGACUAUAGAAUACCUACAUAGUGCCCUGCAGGAUGUGUUAUCUCCUGUGUGUCAAAAGAUGCCAUACUUUGUUUCUACCCAUCCAGCAAUGAACUAGAGACUUGACCGUCCUCCAUUAUAACAUUCUUUUGUAGACAAAGGAUGACAACAUAUUCCACUAUACUUGUACUUGCAUGAUGUAUGGAAUGAUUCCAUACUACACUAUAAUUAAGCAGAAAGCCCAGUUUAUCCUGAGAUGCUUUUUAACUACAAAUGAUAACUCUUCUCAGAUUGUGGUCUGCUUGAGAUUCAAGGGUCUGUGAGGAGUCAAGGUGCAAGAGGUGAAAACUUGAGACUGUAGUUUAAAGCAGCCCCAGGAACACCCUUUCCAAGCAAACAUGAGCAGCUCAAAGGAAACACUGACAUCUGGAACUGGGUGAUAUUGUAUUUAUGUGUGUACUUGCAAUAUAAUAAAUAUAAAUUAUAUUAACUA
This is a long non-coding RNA of Harpia harpyja (harpy eagle), 2279 nucleotides long. RefSeq lists it as uncharacterized. Lineage: Eukaryota; Metazoa; Chordata; Aves; Accipitriformes; Accipitridae. The record is from RefSeq and is a predicted model, not a curated record. The transcript has 2 exons.